UGGGGAAUAUUGCACAAUGGGCGAAAGCCUGAUGCAGCAACGCCGCGUGCGGGAUGACGGCCUUCGGGUUGUAAAACCGCUUUUCAGCAGGGACGAAGGUUUUCUGACGGUACCUGCAGAAGAAGCACCGGCUAACUACGUGCCAGCAGCCGCGGUGAUACGUAGGGUGCGAGCGUUGUCCGGAAUUAUUGGGCGUAAAGAGCUUGUAGGCGGUCCGUUGCGUCGGAAGUGAAAAACUCAGGGCUUAAACCCUGAGCCUGCUUUCGAUACGGGCGGACUUGAGGGAUGUAGGGAGAACGGAAUUCCUGGUGGAGCGGUGGAAUGCGCAGAUAUCAGGAGGAACACCAGUGGCGAAGGCGGUUCUCUGGACAUUUCCUGACGCUGAGAAGCGAAAGCGUGGGGAGCAAAACAGGCUUAGAUACCCUGGUAGUCC
This 433-nucleotide ribosomal RNA is filed under the name uncultured bacterium. RNAcentral describes it as "partial 16S ribosomal RNA". It matches the Rfam family "Bacterial small subunit ribosomal RNA", at positions 355 to 796 of the family's 1533-position model. The record is from RNAcentral.